GAUGAACGCUGGCGGCGUGCCUAAUACAUGCAAGUCGAGCGAACAGACGAGGAGCUUGCUCCUCUGACGUUAGCGGCGGACGGGUGAGUAACACGUGGAUAACCUACCUAUAAGACUGGGAUAACUCCGGGAAACCGGAGCUAAUACCGGAUAAUAUAUUGAACCGCAUGGUUCAAUAGUGAAAGACGGUUUUGCUGUCACUUAUAGAUGGAUCCGCGCCGCAUUAGCUAGUUGGUAAGGUAACGGCUUACCAAGGCGACGAUGCGUAGCCGACCUGAGAGGGUGAUCGGCCACACUGGAACUGAGACACGGUCCAGACUCCUACGGGAGGCAGCAGUAGGGAAUCUUCCGCAAUGGGCGAAAGCCUGACGGAGCAACGCCGCGUGAGUGAUGAAGGUCUUCGGAUCGUAAAACUCUGUUAUUGGGGAAGAACAAAUGUGUAAGUAACUAUGCACGUCUUGACGGUACCUAAUCAGAAAGCCACGGCUAACUACGUG
Molecule: ribosomal RNA, 497 nt
Filed under: uncultured bacterium
Lineage: Bacteria
Description: partial 16S ribosomal RNA
Rfam family: Bacterial small subunit ribosomal RNA
Source: RNAcentral